AGGGCGUUUGGUGAAUGCCUUGGCAGUAAGAGGCGAUGAAAGACGUGAUACUCUGCGAUAAGCCAUGGGGAGCUGAGAAUAAGCUUUGAUCCAUGGAUUUCUGAAUGGGGCAACCCACCUGAUACUUUGUUAUUACUGCACUUCGGUGCAGCUAAUAACUUGGUAAACCAGGUAUUUUUAGGCUGAAUAUAUAGGCUUAAAAAGGCAAACCCGGGGAACUGAAACAUCUAAGUACCCGGAGGAAAGGAAAUCAAUAUGAUACUCCCCUAGUAGCGGCGAGCGAACGGGGACCAGCCGAGCCAUGAGUGUGGUUAGAAUGCGUUGGAAUGCGCAACCAAAGUGGGUGAUAGUCCCGUAUAAGAAGCAUGAUUGGACGUAUUAAGUAGGGCGGAACACGUGAAAUUCUGUCUGAAGAUCGGAGGACCACCUUCGAAGGCUAAGUACUCCUUACUGACCGAUAGUGAACCAGUACCGUGAGGGAAAGGUGAAAAGCACCCCGACGAGGGGAGUGAAACAGUACCUGAAACCGAACGCCUACAAACAGUUGGAGGGACCUUGCGUCCUGACAGCGUACCUUUUGUAUAAUGGGUCAUCGACUUGGUCUCACGAGCAAGCUUAAGCCGUUAGGUGUAGGCGUAGCGAAAGCGAGUCUUAAUAGGGCGUUGAGUUCGUGGGAUCAGACCCGAAACCGAGUGAUCUAGGCAUGGCCAGGUUGAAGAUAAGGUAACACUUAUUGGAGGACCGAACCCACAUCUGUUGAAAAAGAUCGGGAUGAGCUGUGCCUAGGGGUGAAAGGCCAAUCAAACUCGGAGAUAGCUGGUUCUCUGCGAAAUCUAUUUAGGUAGAGCGUCGACCGAAUACCCUCGGGGGUAGAGCACUGGAUGGGUAAUGGGGCCCCACAGGCUUACUGAUCCUAACCAAACUCCGAAUACCGAGGAGUACUAGUCGGCAGACACACGGCGAAUGCUAACGUCCGUCGUGCUAAGGCCCCUAAUUCAUGGCUAAGUGGGAAAGCAGGUGAGACGACCAAAACAACCAGGAGGUUGGCUUAGAAGCAGCCAUCCUUUAAAGAUAGCGUAACAGCUCACUGGUCUAAAUAAGUUGUCUUGCGGCGAAGAUGUAACGGGGCUCAAGCCAUGAGCCGAAGCUGAGGAUGCAUUUAUUGCAUGGUAGCAGAGCGUAGUGUGACAUAGUUCCAUGUGUCCUUAUCGUCCCUCGGGACGGGUUGGACACAAGGAGCUUUCUGUGAAGCUGGCGCGUGAGCGAUCCGGUGGAGAGAUCACUAGUGAGAAUGAUGACAUGAGUAGCGACAAAGAGUGUGAGAGACACUCUCGCUUAAAGCUAAUCUGAGCAGGGUAAGCCGACCCCUAAGGCGAGGCCGAAAGGCGUAGUCGAUGGGAACCAGGUUAAUAUUCCUGGGCCAGAUGGAAGUGACGGAUCUCGAGGGUAGUUCAUCCUUAUCGGAUUGAAUGGGCUGCUUAGAGGUCCCUGGAAAUAGCUCCAUCGCUAGAUCGUACCCUAAACCGACACAGGUGGACAGGUAGAGAAUACCAAGGCGCUUGAGAGAACUAUGUUGAAGGAACUCGGCAAAAUACCUCCGUAAGUUCGCGAGAAGGAGGCCCGGUUCCUAGGCAACUAGGGGCUGGGGGCACAAACCAGGGGGUGGCGACUGUUUAUUAAAAACACAGGGCUCUGCGAAGUCGCAAGACGACGUAUAGGGUCUGACGCCUGCCCGGUGCCUGAAGGUUAAAAGGAGGGGUGAGAGCUAACUAUAACGGUCCUAAGGUAGCGAAAUUCCUUGUCGGGUAAGUUCCGACCUGCACGAAUGGCGUAACGACUUCCCCGCUGUCUCCAACAUAGACUCAGCGAAAUUGAAUUACCGGUCAAGAUGCCGGUUACCCGCGGUUAGACGGAAAGACCCCGUGCACCUUUACUACAGCUUCACACUGGCAUUAGGCCGAACAUGUGCAGGAUAGGUGGUGGGCUUUGAAACCGAGACGCCAGUCUCGGUGGAGCCUCCCUUGAGAUACCACCCUUGUUCUGCUUGAUGUCUAACCGCGGACCGUUAUCCGGUUCCGGGACCCUGUGUGGCGGGUAGUUUGACUGGGGCGGUCGCCUCCUAAAUCGUAACGGAGGCGCGCGAAGGUUGGCUCAGAGCGGUCGGAAAUCGCUCGUUGAGUGCAAUGGCAGAAGCCAGCCUGACUGCGAGACUGACAAGUCGAGCAGAGUCGAAAGACGGCCAUAGUGAUCCGGUGGUCCCAAGUGGGAGGGCCAUCGCUCAACGGAUAAAAGGUACGCCGGGGAUAACAGGCUGAUACUGCCCAAGAGUCCAUAUCGACGGCAGUGUUUGGCACCUCGAUGUCGGCUCAUCUCAUCCUGGGGCUGGAGCAGGUCCCAAGGGUACGGCUGUUCGCCGUUUAAAGAGGUACGUGAGCUGGGUUUAGAACGUCGUGAGACAGUUCGGUCCCUAUCUUCCGUGGGUGUAGGAUACUUGAGAGGAGUUGCCCCUAGUACGAGAGGACCGGGGUGAACGAUCCACUGGUGGACCAGUUGUUAUGCCAAUAGCAGUGCUGGGUAGCUAUGAUCGGACAGGAUAACCGCUGAAGGCAUCUAAGCGGGAAGCCCCCCUCAAAACAAGGUAU
RNAcentral lists this ribosomal RNA (2642 nucleotides) under hydrothermal vent metagenome. RNAcentral's name for it is "bacterial LSU rRNA". It matches the Rfam family "Bacterial large subunit ribosomal RNA". The record is from RNAcentral.